RNAcentral lists this ribosomal RNA (531 nucleotides) under Vibrio sp. Its description in RNAcentral is "bacterial SSU rRNA". It matches the Rfam family "Bacterial small subunit ribosomal RNA", at positions 469 to 999 of the family's 1533-position model. The record is from RNAcentral. Lineage: Bacteria; Pseudomonadati; Pseudomonadota; Gammaproteobacteria; Vibrionales; Vibrionaceae.
UUGACGUUAGCGACAGAAGAAGCACCGGCUAACUCCGUGCCAGCAGCCGCGGUAAUACGGAGGGUGCGAGCGUUAAUCGGAAUUACUGGGCGUAAAGCGCAUGCAGGUGGUUUGUUAAGUCAGAUGUGAAAGCCCGGGGCUCAACCUCGGAAUAGCAUUUGAAACUGGCAGACUAGAGUACUGUAGAGGGGGGUAGAAUUUCAGGUGUAGCGGUGAAAUGCGUAGAGAUCUGAAGGAAUACCGGUGGCGAAGGCGGCCCCCUGGACAGAUACUGACACUCAGAUGCGAAAGCGUGGGGAGCAAACAGGAUUAGAUACCCUGGUAGUCCACGCCGUAAACGAUGUCUACUUGGAGGUUGUGGCCUUGAGCCGUGGCUUUCGGAGCUAACGCGUUAAGUAGACCGCCUGGGGAGUACGGUCGCAAGAUUAAAACUCAAAUGAAUUGACGGGGGCCCGCACAAGCGGUGGAGCAUGUGGUUUAAUUCGAUGCAACGCGAAGAACCUUACCUACUCUUGACAUCCAGAGAACUUU